AUGCAGCGCCACAUCGACCCAUCGCAUCGCCCCAGGGAGAGCCACUCGCUCACCAUGUCCUCCCCGGCGACGGAGCAAGCCAUCUUCUUCCUGCGCAACCACGUCGUCACCAUGACUGCAGUCGACGGCGUCAACGCCACGUCCCCCAUGGCGGUGGGCCGCACUCUGGAGGCGCAACUCACCGUCCCGGUCAACCAGCUUCGCGUCACGGCUCACCACCCGGAGCACUACCUCGUCAUCUUCAGCCAGCCCGCGCACCACGUCAACGCCGUCCGUCGCGGGUCCAUC
Molecule: ribosomal RNA, 288 nt
Filed under: Triticum aestivum (bread wheat)
Lineage: Eukaryota; Viridiplantae; Streptophyta; Magnoliopsida; Poales; Poaceae
Description: partial small subunit ribosomal RNA
Source: RNAcentral